AGUUGCCUUGACUUUGUUCACGUAGGCUCAGCAGCUUGAGACUGCAGCCCCAGAAUCGGCAGUGUCCUCAGUUGGCACCCAGAGGAGCUGUUGCAUUCUCCCCUUUAUUGUGGAGAUGGCUGCAGCAGGUGCUCUUGUCCUGGGGGAAGACAGCCAUUGAGAUUGGCAGAGGCUUAAGUAUGAAGUCAAAGGCAACACCUGAUAUCAGAAAGGGCCCAGGCAGCAGUGGGGAAGUCCUCAGCUGGAUCUUUGAGCCUUGGACGGAAUCAGCAGCAGGCUCAUAGGUUGAAGGAACUCAUUUCCAGAUGAGACUUUGGACUUUGGAGUUAAUGCUGAAAUGAGUUAAGACUUUGGGGGACUAUUGAGAAGAGAGGACUAUAUUUUGCAAUGUGAAAAGGACAUGACAUUUGAGGGACCAAGGUGGAAUGACGUGCCCCUGCCAAAUCUCAUGUUGAAUUGUAAUCCUCAGUGUUGGAAUUGGGGUCUGGGGGGGGAUGUUUGAGUCAUGGGGGUGGAUCUCUCAUGGUUUGGUGCUGUCUUUGCAUUAUCAAGUGAGUUCUCACAAGAUCUGGUUGUUAGCCUGACCAACAUGGUGAAACCCUAUCUCAACUAAAAAUACAAAAAUUAGCGGGGCAUGGUGGCAUGCGCCUAUAAUCCCAGCUACUCAGGAGGCUGAGGCAGGAGAAUCGCUUGAACCAGGGAGGCAGAGGUUGCAGUGAGCCAAGAUCACGCCAUUGCACUCCAGCUUGGGUGACAGAGCGAAACUCCGUCUCAAAAAAAAAAAAAAAGUGUAUAGCACCUUCCCUUCACUCUCUCUCUUGCUCCCAGUCCUGCCAUAUGAGAUGCCUGUUCCCUCUUUGCCUUCUUCCAUGAUUGUAAGCUUCCUAAGGCCUCCCCAAAAGCAGAUGCCAGCACUAUGCUUCCUGUACAGCCUGAAGAACUGUGAACCAAUUAAACCUCUUUUCUUUAUAAAUU
Molecule: long non-coding RNA, 975 nt
Filed under: Homo sapiens (human)
Lineage: Eukaryota; Metazoa; Chordata; Mammalia; Primates; Hominidae
Description: HSALNT0408695
Source: RNAcentral